Molecule: non-coding RNA, 904 nt
Organism: Myodes glareolus (Bank vole)
Lineage: Eukaryota; Metazoa; Chordata; Mammalia; Rodentia; Cricetidae
Source: RefSeq, a predicted model, not a curated record
AGUAGUUGCAAAACCUCACAAAGCACGCUCUGAGGAAGUCACCGAUGAGGAUCGUGACAUAAGUGGUCAGAACAUCAGAAACGAAAUGUUUUCUGUGGGUAAGGGAAGCCAGGAGUCCCCCCCAAGGAGCCACAGUCCAGUCUGGAACUGUACCUGAUCUCUUCAGCUUCCCUGGUUGACUUCUGCUGGAUGUCUAUAAUGCCUUGAGUUGACAAAGUUACCUUGGUGUGCAGUCGAUCAAGUUUGUCUUUCAGUAACCAUCUGUGGUACUUUGAAUGGGAAAUGUCCCCCGAAGAUCAUGCAUAUGAAGUUGUGAUCAGCCAGUUUCCUGUUCCUGCUGUCACACUUUUCCUGCCUGUUACCAUGGCUUCCCUGGCAUGAUGUGCUCUGUCCCUCUGAAACCACUUUCAUGGCACGAGAUGAAAGAGUUGGGACUAGCGACUAGAACAUCAAGGGGCUGGAGGCUGCAUUCAAUACCAAAGAAGGUUUCUGCCAUGCAGACUGCUGAACUUCUGGGUCCAGCUCCCAAGUUAGCUUUAGUUGCAGUUCCAAACAUCCUAUGACCUCUUCUGGCUUCAAUGACCACUUGCACACACGUGCCUGGUUUUGGUAUUUUGUUUGUUUGUUUUAUCUCACUUUCAAAAACAAAAUUUUAAAAGAUUAGCAUAAAAAAGAAUGGCAGAGAAACAUGAGAAAUCUAUGCGGACAUGAUAAGAAAUGGAGCAUCCGGGGCAGGUUGCCCUUCAGGCAAAGCUCUGAGCCUGCACCACAAAACCCCAUGUUAUGCAAGUAGGAGAUGUGAGAGACUGUCCUUUCCUUGAGGACUUUUUACCCCAGCUCACUAGCCUACUCCUGUUCUCAGGGAUUCUCCUUUUUAAUAAAUCAUCUCUGUUUCUACUUAUAA